CCUGGUUGAUUCUGCCAGUAUUCAUAUGCUUGUCUCAAAGAUUAAGCCAUGCAUGUCUAAGUAUAAGCAACUUUGUACUGUGAAACUGCGAAUGGCUCAUUAAAUCAGUUAUAGUUUAUUUGAUGGUUUUUGCUACAUGGAUAACUGUGGUAAUUCUAGAGCUAAUACAUGCAUUCAAGCCCCGACUUCUGGAAGGGGUGUAUUUAUUAGAUAAAAAUCAACUUUGUUGGUGAAUCAUAAUAACUUCUCGGACCGCAUGGCCUCGUGCUGGCGGUGCUUCAUUCAAAUAUCUGCCCUAUCAACUGUCGAUGGUAGGAUAGAGGCCUACCAUGGUUGCAACGGGUAACGGGGAAUAAGGGUUCGAUUCCGGAGAGGGAGCCUGAGAAACGGCUACCACAUCCAAGGAAGGCAGCAGGCGCGCAAAUUACCCAAUCCCAACACGGGGAGGUAGUGACAAUAUGUAACAAUAUACGGCCUUAUACGUCGUAUAAUUGGAAUGAGUACAAUUUAAAUCCCUUAACGAGGAACAAUUGGAGGGCAAGUCUGGUGCCAGCAGCCGCGGUAAUUCCAGCUCCAAUAGCGUAUAUUAAAGUUGUUGCAGUUAAAAAGCUCGUAGUUGGACCUUGGACCUGGACAGGCGGUCCGCCUCACGGCGAGUACUGUCUUGCUGGGUCUUUCCUCUUGGUGAUCUGUUGUUUCGGCAGCAGGGAACCAGGACCUUUACUUUGAAAAAAUUAGAGUGU
RNAcentral lists this ribosomal RNA (743 nucleotides) under uncultured fungus. RNAcentral describes it as "SSU rRNA". It matches the Rfam family "Eukaryotic small subunit ribosomal RNA", at positions 3 to 774 of the family's 1831-position model. The record is from RNAcentral. Lineage: Eukaryota; Fungi.